RNAcentral lists this RNase P RNA (350 nucleotides) under Anaerosporomusa subterranea. RNAcentral's name for it is "Bacterial RNase P class A". It matches the Rfam family "Bacterial RNase P class A". From Rfam's summary of the family: Ribonuclease P (RNase P) is a ubiquitous endoribonuclease, found in archaea, bacteria and eukarya as well as chloroplasts and mitochondria. The record is from Rfam by way of RNAcentral. Lineage: Bacteria; Bacillati; Bacillota; Negativicutes; Acetonemataceae.
UGAGUAUGAAAGAUGGUCGCGGGCGUAAGCCGUCCGAGGAAAGUCCGAGCUCCAUAGGGCAGGGUGCUGGAUAACGUCCAGCGAGGGUGACCUUAGGGAAAGUGCCACAGAAAGAAACCGCCUGCUUCGGCAGGUAAGGGUGCAACGGUGCGGUAAGAGCGCACCAGCAGUCAGGUGACUGGCUGGCUAGGUAAACCCCACCUGGAGCAAGAUCGAAUAGGGAAGUGAUGAAGCGGCCCGCUGAGUCUUCCGGGUUGUAUCGCUGGAGCCGACAGGCAACUGUCGGCCUAGAUAGAUGACCAUCACCGCCGACAGGCGGAACAAAACUCGGCUUAUUGAUUACUCAUGUG